This is a long non-coding RNA of Cyprinus carpio (common carp), 468 nucleotides long. Lineage: Eukaryota; Metazoa; Chordata; Actinopteri; Cypriniformes; Cyprinidae. The record is from Ensembl.
AAAAGUGAGUUAGAUUCAUUUUAAAAUGCUCAAUAUAAAAUGCUGUGUUAUUCACUAAGAAACAACAAUGAAGGCUUCCUGUAGAGGGAGGGCUGACAGAGAAUCAGAAACUUACUGAGGAAAUGAAACUUAUGAAAACAACAGAUGUUCACAGAUCAGAUGAGGGCGGGAACAGUGUACCAGUAUAAAUUACACACAGACCCACUGAUCUGUCCUUUCCAGAGCCUUCUGCUGCCAGAUCAACAAGAUUUUAUGGCGUUUCCUCUGUGGGAGAUGCUGUGGAAACUUGACUGGUCUUGUAGCACUAAUGUCAUCAUGAAGGAGGCGGAGUUUAUGUUAAAUUUUGGUGAAACCUUUGGUUUCUGCAUUGCUUGGUUGGUUGGUCUGGGGCCCAACUGAUAAAACAAAAAGCCCCAGAAAAAAAGUACAAAAAAAAUAAAAUUCUAAAUAAAAAUAGUAAAAUCUGCA